RNAcentral lists this transfer RNA (72 nucleotides) under Heliconius melpomene (postman butterfly). RNAcentral's name for it is "tRNA HMEL003710". It matches the Rfam family "tRNA". Rfam says of the family: Transfer RNA (tRNA) molecules are approximately 80 nucleotides in length. Their secondary structure includes four short double-helical elements and three loops (D, anti-codon, and T loops). Further hydrogen bonds mediate the characteristic L-shaped molecular structure. tRNAs have two regions of fundamental functional importance: the anti-codon, which is responsible for specific mRNA codon recognition, and the 3' end, to which the tRNAs corresponding amino acid is attached (by aminoacyl-tRNA synthetases). tRNAs cope with the degeneracy of the genetic code in two manners: having more than one tRNA (with a specific anti-codon) for a particular amino acid; and 'wobble' base-pairing, i.e. permitting non-standard base-pairing at the 3rd anti-codon position. The record is from RNAcentral. Lineage: Eukaryota; Metazoa; Arthropoda; Insecta; Lepidoptera; Nymphalidae.
GAACGUAUGGCUUAGUUGGUCAAUGCGCUUGGACGGUUUCCAAAGAGGCACGUUCAAACCCCGCUACGUUCA